GACCGCGUAGCUCAGUUGGCAGAGCAUUAUUGGGCUAGUAUUCCAAGGGUCGUAGGUUCGAUUCCCACCGUGGUCA
RNAcentral lists this transfer RNA (76 nucleotides) under Paramuricea clavata. It matches the Rfam family "tRNA". From Rfam's summary of the family: Transfer RNA (tRNA) molecules are approximately 80 nucleotides in length. The record is from Rfam by way of RNAcentral. Lineage: Eukaryota; Metazoa; Cnidaria; Anthozoa; Malacalcyonacea; Plexauridae.